UACGUAGGGUGCAAGCGUUAAUCGGAAUUACUGGGCGUAAAGCGUGCGCAGGCGGUUGUGCAAGACAGAUGUGAAAUCCCCGGGCUUAACCUGGGAACUGCAUUUGUGACCGCACGGCUAGAGUGUGUCAGAGGGGGGUAGAAUUCCACGUGUAGCAGUGAAAUGCGUAGAGAUGUGGAGGAACACCGAUGGCGAAGGCAGCCCCCUGGGUUAACACUGACGCUCAGGCACGAAAGCGUGGGGAGCAAACAGG
Molecule: ribosomal RNA, 253 nt
Filed under: uncultured bacterium
Lineage: Bacteria
Description: partial 16S ribosomal RNA
Rfam family: Bacterial small subunit ribosomal RNA
Source: RNAcentral